Molecule: ribosomal RNA, 744 nt
Filed under: uncultured bacterium
Lineage: Bacteria
Description: bacterial SSU rRNA
Rfam family: Bacterial small subunit ribosomal RNA
Source: RNAcentral
UAUAGAGAGAGGGUAGAUUCCAGGUGUAGCGUGAAAUGCGUAGAGAUCUGAAGGAAUACCGGUGGCGAAGGCGGCCCUCUGGCCUAAUACUGACGCUGAGGUUCGAAAGCGUGGGGAGCAAACAGGAUUAGAUACCCUGGUAGUCCACGCCGUAAACGAUGUCUACUAGCCGUUGGGGGGGUUACCCUUUAGUGGCGCAGCUAACGCAAUAAGUAGACCGCCUGGGGAGUACGGCCGCAAGGUUAAAACUCAAAUGAAUUGACGGGGGCCCGCACAAGCGGUGGAGCAUGUGGUUUAAUUCGAUGCAACGCGAAGAACCUUACCAAGACUUGACAUCCUGCGAAGUAUCUAGAGAUAGAUUCGUGCCUUCGGGAGCGCAGAGACAGGUGCUGCAUGGCUGUCGUCAGCUCGUGUUGUGAAAUGUUGGGUUAAGUCCCGUAACGAGCGCAACCCUUGUCCUAUGUUGCCAGCGCGUAAUGGCGGGAACUCAUGGGAGACUGCCGGUGACAAACCGAAGGAAGGUGGGGACGACGUCAAGUCAUCAUGGCCCUUACGUCUUGGGCUACACACGUGCUACAAUGGCCGGUACAGAGGGUUGCCAACCUGCGAAGGUGAGCUAAUCCCUUAAAACCGGUCGUAGUCCGGAUCGGAGUCUGCAACUCGACUCCGUGAAGUCGGAAUCGCUAGUAAUCGCGAAUCAGAAUGUCGCGGUGAAUACGUUCCCGGGCCUUGUACACACCGCCC